Molecule: long non-coding RNA, 733 nt
Filed under: Mus musculus (house mouse)
Lineage: Eukaryota; Metazoa; Chordata; Mammalia; Rodentia; Muridae
Description: RIKEN cDNA 4930583P06 gene (4930583P06Rik)
Source: RNAcentral
ACCAGCAGGUUCCUGUAUCUUGGGAAUAUUAAGAAUAUUAGAGAGCAACUUGCAGCAGUCAGAAUUUCACAUUAAGGGAACCAGCCAUUCCUGUGGAGGGCAGGAUGGAGUGACAACCUGUAUGCUCAUUCAACAUGCACUGAAUGAGAGCCAAGGAACGCUUUAUCGAAGCUUCUUCUUCCUUAUACAGACCUAGACAUAAUCAGAGGAACAGCUUGCUUAGAAAUCUGGAGUCCUGUUUUGCAAUAUAGUAACUAUAUGGCAUUAAGAAAAUCAGUUAGCCUGUUUGAACUUCAGUUUUCUAAUUUUCAAACAGAGAGAUGUGGUUACUGCAUCCAAUCACUGAGAUGACUGAAUUAUGAAGGGGCAAAUCUUAUCAGUCAGUUAAUCCACCAAGAUACCUCCUUUCCUGACUUCAGUCAGGGAUAUAAAUGGGGUAUCUUUAUCAAAACCCUACCCUCAAAUCUCAGGGAUCUACGAGAAUAAGAGCUAGAAAUAUUCUAAGACCCAGAAGAGAUAGAUAACAUCAGACAAACCACAUCUACCGGACAACAAGAACUGAUCGAUCCAUCUAUGAACUCCUAGAGACUGUGGAAGCACUCACAAGACCUGAACAAGUCCAACCAGACAAAAGCCCAGCACUGAGAAGGUGGAGUAGACACAAAGUUCCAGCUCUAAUCAAGAAGCAGUCUGUAACUGAUAACUGCUAGAAAAAGUAAAAUUAGUUUUCUCC